This 390-nucleotide long non-coding RNA is filed under the name Elaeis guineensis (African oil palm). RNAcentral describes it as "long non-coding RNA (EGUI_LNC037530)". Lineage: Eukaryota; Viridiplantae; Streptophyta; Magnoliopsida; Arecales; Arecaceae. The record is from RNAcentral.
AAUCGAAGGGCUAAGGUCCCCCAAUCCCUUUCCUCUACUUCUUCCAUCCCCAUGAGUCUCCAUCGGGUGGAAGGAGGCUUGGAAUAGUCAAAUUGAACAGCUAGGGUUCCCCUCCAGCCCUUUUGCUCUAUUUCUUCCAUCCUCAGGAGUCUCCAUUUGGUAAGAGGCUAGGCGAGGCAUGCCUGUGUGGAAGGGGACCAAGGUAGUGGGGUCAUCAAAGGGAGAGAGGGAGGGGGAAGGCCUCGAUGAGAUCGGUGAAGAAGUUAAUGGGGUUGCCGAAGACUUGGCAGAGGAAGCAAGAGAGGAGGGAGAGGUCUAAGAGCGAGAAAAGAGGGAGUAUCCGAGUGGCAGAGGAAUGAAGGGGUCGUCCAUUCAUCGAUCUUCAAGGUU